UCCCUGGUAGUUGAGUGGUUAGGACUCAGUGCUUUCACUGCCAAGGGCCCAGGCUCAAUUCUUGGUCAGGGAA
Molecule: transfer RNA, 73 nt
Filed under: Bos taurus (domestic cattle)
Lineage: Eukaryota; Metazoa; Chordata; Mammalia; Artiodactyla; Bovidae
Also listed under: 2 other names
Rfam family: tRNA
About the family: Transfer RNA (tRNA) molecules are approximately 80 nucleotides in length. Their secondary structure includes four short double-helical elements and three loops (D, anti-codon, and T loops).
Source: Rfam by way of RNAcentral